AUCUAUUUAGUAUAAAUAAGUACAUUUGACUUCCAAUUAAAUAGUUUAAACCAUUAAAAUAGAUA
This 65-nucleotide transfer RNA is filed under the name Xenogryllus marmoratus. Its description in RNAcentral is "tRNA-Gly". The record is from RNAcentral. Lineage: Eukaryota; Metazoa; Arthropoda; Insecta; Orthoptera; Gryllidae.